GUGGAUUAGAUACCCUAGUAGUCCACGCCGUAAACGUUGGGCACUAGGUGUGGGUCUCAACCAACGAGAUCCGCGCCGUCGCAAACGCAUUAAGUGCCCCGCCUGGGGAGUACGGUCGCAAGACUAAAACUCAAAGGAAUUGACGGGGGCCCGCACAAGCAGCGGAGCGUGUUGCUUAAUUCGAUGUUACGCGAAGAACCUUACCUGGGUUUGACAUGUAGGGAAAAGCUCUAGAGAUAGGGUGUCCUAACGGGCCCUACACAGGUGGUGCACGGCCGUCGACAACU
RNAcentral lists this ribosomal RNA (287 nucleotides) under uncultured bacterium. RNAcentral describes it as "partial 16S ribosomal RNA". It matches the Rfam family "Bacterial small subunit ribosomal RNA", at positions 773 to 1060 of the family's 1533-position model. The record is from RNAcentral.